GGGUUGUGAGGUUAAGCGACUAAGCGUACACGGUGGAUGCCCUGGCAGUCAGAGGCGAUGAAGGGCGUGCUAAUCUGCGAUAAGCGCCGGUAAGGUGAUAUGAACCGUUAUAACCGGCGAUACCCGAAUGGGGAAACCCAGUGUGAUUCGUCACACUAUCAUUAACUGAAUCCAUAGGUUAAUGAGGCGAACCGGGGGAACUGAAACAUCUAAGUACCCCGAGGAAAAGAAAUCAACCGAGAUUCCCCCAGUAGCGGCGAGCGAACGGGGAGGAGCCCAGAGCCUGAAUCAGCAUGUGUGUUAGUGGAAGCGUCUGGAAAGGCGCGCGAUACAGGGUGACAGCCCCGUACACAAAAGCGCAUGUGCUGUGAGCUCGAUGAGUAGGGCGGGACACGUGGUAUCCUGUCUGAAUAUGGGGGGACCAUCCUCCAAGGCUAAAUACUCCUGACUGACCGAUAGUGAACCAGUACCGUGAGGGAAAGGCGAAAAGAACCCCGGCGAGGGGAGUGAAAAAGAACCUGAAACCGUGUACGUACAAGCAGUGGGAGCCCCACCACUAAGCCAGUGGUGAACUCCACAUACGCAUCCUUUGCUGAGGAUACGGUUAACGGAGCGAAAGCGACGUUCAACCGCAAAAGAAGCAGAGGGGGCUUAGUGGUGGGGUGACUGCGUACCUUUUGUAUAAUGGGUCAGCGACUUAUAUUCUGUAGCAAGGUUAACCGAAUAGGGGAGCCGGAGGGAAACCGAGUCUUAAUUGGGCGUUAAGUUGCAGGGUAUAGACCCGAAACCCGGUGAUCUAGCCAUGGGCAGGUUGAAGGUUGGGUAACACUAACUGGAGGACCGAACCGACUAAUGUUGAAAAAUUAGCGGAUGACCUGUGGCUGGGGGUGAAAGGCCAAUCAAACCGGGAGAUAGCUGGUUCUCCCCGAAAGCUAUUUAGGUAGCGCCUCGUGAAUUCAUCUCCGGGGGUAGAGCACUGUUUCGGCUAGGGGGCCAUCCCGGCUUACCAACCCGAUGCAAACUGCGAAUACCGGAGAAUGUUAUCACGGGAGACACACGGCGGGUGCUAACGUCCGUCGUGAAGAGGGAAACAACCCAGACCGCCAGCUAAGGUCCCAAAGUCAUGGUUAAGUGGGAAACGAUGUGGGAAGGCCCAGACAGCCAGGAUGUUGGCUUAGAAGCAGCCAUCAUUUAAAGAAAGCGUAAUAGCUCACUGGUCGAGUCGGCCUGCGCGGAAGAUGUAACGGGGCUAAACCAUGCACCGAAGCUGCGGCAGCGAACGUAUCACUUAAAGCGAUUCAGCGGGUUACGAUUGACGGAGCGAAGCGACGUCAAAGCGUAUACAAAGUCGAGUCGGUUUAAGGAUACGUUCGUUGGGUAGGGGAGCGUUCUGUAAGCCUGCGAAGGUGGCCUGUGAGGGUUGCUGGAGGUAUCAGAAGUGCGAAUGCUGACAUAAGUAACGAUAAAGCGGGUGAAAAGCCCGCUCGCCGGAAGACCAAGGGUUCCUGUCCAACGUUAAUCGGGGCAGGGUGAGUCGACCCCUAAGGCGAGGCCGAAAGGCGUAGUCGAUGGGAAACGGGUUAAUAUUCCCGUACUUGGUGUUACUGCGAAGGGGGGACGGAGAAGGCUAUGUUGGCCGGGCGACGGUUGUCCCGGUUUAAGCGUGUAGGUGUGUGUUCCAGGUAAAUCCGGUUCACUUUAACACUGAGGCGUGAUGACGAGGCACUACGGUGCUGAAGCAACAAAUGCCCUGCUUCCAGGAAAAGCCUCUAAGCAUCAGGUAACAUCAAAUCGUACCCCAAACCGACACAGGUGGUCAGGUAGAGAAUACCAAGGCGCUUGAGAGAACUCGGGUGAAGGAACUAGGCAAAAUGGUGCCGUAACUUCGGGAGAAGGCACGCUGACACGUAGGUGAAGUGAUUUACUCAUGGAGCUGAAGUCAGUCGAAGAUACCAGCUGGCUGCAACUGUUUAUUAAAAACACAGCACUGUGCAAACACGAAAGUGGACGUAUACGGUGUGACGCCUGCCCGGUGCCGGAAGGUUAAUUGAUGGGGUCAGCGCAAGCGAAGCUCCUGAUCGAAGCCCCGGUAAACGGCGGCCGUAACUAUAACGGUCCUAAGGUAGCGAAAUUCCUUGUCGGGUAAGUUCCGACCUGCACGAAUGGCGUAAUGAUGGCCAGGCUGUCUCCACCCGAGACUCAGUGAAAUUGAACUCGCUGUGAAGAUGCAGUGUACCCGCGGCAAGACGGAAAGACCCCGUGAACCUUUACUAUAGCUUGACACUGAACAUUGAGCCUUGAUGUGUAGGAUAGGUGGGAGGCUUUGAAGUGUGGACGCCAGUCUGCAUGGAGCCGACCUUGAAAUACCACCCUUUAAUGUUUGAUGUUCUAACGUGGACCCGUGAUCCGGGUUGCGGACAGUGUCUGGUGGGUAGUUUGACUGGGGCGGUCUCCUCCUAAAGAGUAACGGAGGAGCACGAAGGUUGGCUAAUCCUGGUCGGACAUCAGGAGGUUAGUGCAAUGGCAUAAGCCAGCUUGACUGCGAGCGUGACGGCGCGAGCAGGUGCGAAAGCAGGUCAUAGUGAUCCGGUGGUUCUGAAUGGAAGGGCCAUCGCUCAACGGAUAAAAGGUACUCCGGGGAUAACAGGCUGAUACCGCCCAAGAGUUCAUAUCGACGGCGGUGUUUGGCACCUCGAUGUCGGCUCAUCACAUCCUGGGGCUGAAGUAGGUCCCAAGGGUAUGGCUGUUCGCCAUUUAAAGUGGUACGCGAGCUGGGUUUAGAACGUCGUGAGACAGUUCGGUCCCUAUCUGCCGUGGGCGCUGGAGAACUGAGGGGGGCUGCUCCUAGUACGAGAGGACCGGAGUGGACGCAUCACUGGUGUUCGGGUUGUCAUGCCAAUGGCACUGCCCGGUAGCUAAAUGCGGAAGAGAUAAGUGCUGAAAGCAUCUAAGCACGAAACUUGCCCCGAGAUGAGUUCUCCCUGAGACUUAGAGUCUCCUGAAGGAACGUUGAAGACGACGACGUUGAUAGGCCGGGUGUGUAAGCGCAGCGAUGCGUUGAGCUAACCGGUACUAAUGAACCGUGAGGCUUAACCUUACAACGCCGAAG
RNAcentral lists this ribosomal RNA (3109 nucleotides) under Salmonella enterica subsp. enterica serovar Anatum. RNAcentral describes it as "bacterial LSU rRNA". It matches the Rfam family "Bacterial large subunit ribosomal RNA". RNAcentral also lists the same sequence under 13 other names. The record is from RNAcentral. Lineage: Bacteria; Pseudomonadati; Pseudomonadota; Gammaproteobacteria; Enterobacterales; Enterobacteriaceae.